GCCGCCUCCUCUUCUCAUCUCAUCCCUGGCGCCGUCUCCUCUCAGCCCUAGCGCCGCCCCUGCUCCGGAGCCUUGCAGCCUCAUAUUGGUGAACCUCUCCAACCUCCACUCACGAGAGCUGCUGCCGACACCGGUUGUCUCAUUAGGUACCUGCUGAUCAAGUAUGCAUGGGAUGGGAGUAGCCACUUCAUUAUGAGCAUGCACACUCUUUAGCCAUUCAGUAAACAAAUCCCUAGGCUGAAUAAUUCUUUUGAUGUUAUGAGGAUUGUUGCGUGGUCAUUUGGUUGUCGCCUAGAAUUUAUUUAUUCGGUUGUGAUGGUUGAUGAGCAAGUUUAUUUACUAUCUCUAUAUUCACUUUGCUAUAUUUAUGUCUUGUGUGCCGCUAAUGUUAGAAUUUACGAAGGAGACUUUGCCGAAAUUUACUAGAAUUUUAUGAUUUAGUGCAAUUUAAUGUC
Long non-coding RNA from Panicum virgatum (switchgrass), 455 nucleotides. RefSeq lists it as uncharacterized. The transcript is spliced from 2 exons. The record is from RefSeq and is a predicted model, not a curated record. Lineage: Eukaryota; Viridiplantae; Streptophyta; Magnoliopsida; Poales; Poaceae.